CCAUGCAUUGAUAACAAACAACAGUGGUUCAUACUUGCAAUUAAUUUCUAAAUUAUUCUCACAACAAACAUUGGAAAUUUAAGCUCACUCAGGCCAUUUAAAUGGCAGUUUUAACUAUGUAAAAUGCUGCAAAACUUUCCAAAUUGCAAAGUAAGACCUCAAACUACAGGAACACUAACUUAACACACUCAAACAACCUUCCACUAUAGCAUGUCUGACAAUCCACUCAUAUGAUAGAUCUCAAUCCUUAUUACAAUGCCGACAUUCUGAAUUUAAACCUCUAUUCUAAAUAGCCAACACAGCCUUAAACUAAUAGCAUGAACAAGCAAACCAACACAUGCAAGAAAAUUAAGUUACUAUAGAGCUGGGGAAUUUACUAACGUAAGAUAACCAAAUCUAGCAGUAAUUACAACAAGAGAUAGUGUUUUCAUUUAAAUUCCAACUCAAGUUUCCAGAUCUUUACACCGAUUCAGUCAGGCUUCAAUUCCAUGACAGUCUCAAAGGCAUACCUGGAAAUUGCAAAGGAAAAAGAAGUGAAGGAUCGGCAGUAAACAGUAGAACAAAAGCACAGCAGUAUCAAUGCAACAGUGACCUCGCAGCAGCUUGAAACCCAGACUUUAAACCCAAAAUCAAACCAUUUCCCAACCCAGGUGCAAAAUGUGAAAAUUUUCAUAGAUUUUAACUAAUGAAGAAGAUCAGAAACCUCUAGCUAAUACGGAAUUUGAUCAGUUCUAUCAAAGAAAACUGCUAGAAAUUAGUGUAGUUUUCAGAAUAUUUCAGCCUUUUUUGUUCUCUCGGAUUUUUUCUCCUUUUUAUUAAAAAAAUCCUUCAAUGCCAAGUAAAGGUACCUUUAUAGGCAAGGCAUUAGGGCAGCCUAAAAGUGUUCAAUUUUGCCCUUCAGUCCUUUUCUAAUUUUGGUUUUUGCUUAGGAAACCUUAGAGUAAAUUUUUAGAGCUUUAAAUCAGUCCCCCUUUCCAGCUUCCUAGAAGGUUCAUAAGUUAGUUACUGAGAUUUCCCUAAGCUAAACUAUCCAAAUUACCCCUUAAUAACCCUCUUUUUACUGUAGGAAACCAAAUAGGUCAUGGGUCAAUUGACCCAAUGGUUAAACCAGGCAUGGGCUAAAAAAAUCGAUUUGAAUUCCUUGGAACGAAUUCUGAAAUGAAUUCAGAGCCCAAACAGCAAAAUGAAUCAAAUCAAAAUGAGCAAAUUAUGGCCAGCAGUAAGGAAGUGACUAAACAAUUCACCAAAAUUAAAACCUAAACUAAAGGGCUAAAUUUAAACUAAAUGGCCAAACACACAAAGUGAACUCAGAAAUUAAUUAAGUUGUUGAAAAACGAAUUAAACAGACCAAGCAAGAAAAAACGUGGAACAAAACUUGGAAAAAAAAGAUUAAAAAGAAACAAAACAGACAAUAAUCAAUCUUAGCUAAAAGCUUGUCCAAAUUUUAAUUUAUGUAAUUGGAAAGAGAGAGAAGAAGAAAGGAUGCUAAGAAAAAAAAAUAAUAAACAAAUGGAAGUAAAGAACUCACUGAUUCAGGCUCGACCUCAAGACUGACCUUCCGAUCUAAAUCUCGAAAUAACGUUAAUGGCUUGUCCUUUGUCAAGAACAAGCGAGUGACGCUAUUUCGUGAUAAAAUCGACCCUAAAACUCAUGUGAAACAUGGAGCAUCAACCUUGCAUGAAUGAAUUCGUCUUUGACUUCAAGGGCUCGAACCCUAGAUUCACAAUUCGAAGAGUUUCAGCCAUAUUCGAGGGGAAUGGAGUAAGGAUUUGGGAAGAGGGGGUUUUGGUAGUUAUGGGGUGUAAUUUUGGUGGUGUUUUGGUAGUGGCGCCUCUGGGUUCGAGGCGGUGGAAAAGGGGGCGGCAGAUUAGGGUUGGGGUUGUCGCUCUGAGAGUGAGUUGAGAGAGAGAGA
This 1912-nucleotide long non-coding RNA is filed under the name Nicotiana tabacum (common tobacco). RNAcentral describes it as "long non-coding RNA (NTAB_LNC006224)". Lineage: Eukaryota; Viridiplantae; Streptophyta; Magnoliopsida; Solanales; Solanaceae. The record is from RNAcentral.